This is a small nucleolar RNA of Rana temporaria (common frog), 129 nucleotides long. RefSeq annotates it as small nucleolar RNA SNORA55. The record is from RefSeq and is a predicted model, not a curated record. NCBI's taxonomy places the organism in Eukaryota, Metazoa, Chordata, Amphibia, Anura, Ranidae. The transcript has a single exon.
GCACUGUUAACUCAUCCUUACCCUGCUGUGUAGUGCAGGGGGAGGUUUUCCAGUGCAAAAGAAAUGCUAAGGAAAUCCAGACAGAGCAUGGUUCACCUUGUGUUCGGUCUCUACACCUUUGCCACACGC